ACCCUGAUCCAGCCAUGCCGCGUGUGUGAAGAAGGCCUUUUGGUUGUAAAGCACUUUAAGCAGUGAAGAAGACCUAACGGUUAAUACCCGUUAGCGAUGACAUUAGCUGCAGAAUAAGCACCGGCUAACUCUGUGCCAGCAGCCGCGGUAAUACAGAGGGUGCAAGCGUUAAUCGGAAUUACUGGGCGUAAAGCGAGCGUAGGUGGCUUGAUAAGUCAGAUGUGAAAUCCCCGGGCUUAACCUGGGAACUGCAUCUGAUACUGUUAAGCUAGAGUAGGUGAGAGGGAAGUAGAAUUCCAGGUGUAGCGGUGAAAUGCGUAGAGAUCUGGAGGAAUACCGAUGGCGAAGGCAGCUUCCUGGCAUCAUACUGACACUGAGGCUCGAAAGCGUGGGUAGCAAACAGGAUUAGAUACCCUGGUAGUCCACGCCGUAAACGAUGUCUACUAGUCGUUGGGUCCCUUGAGGACUUAGUGACGCAGCUAACGCAAUAAGUAGACCGCCUGGGGAGUACGGCCGCAAGGUUAAAACUCAAAUGAAUUGACGGGGGCCCGCACAAGCGGUGGAGCAUGUGGUUUAAUUCGAUGCAACGCGAAGAACCUUACCUGGUCUUGACAUACACAGAAUCUUGUAGAGAUACGAGAGUGCCUUCGGGAAUUGUGAUACAGGUGCUGCAUGGCUGUCGUCAGCUCGUGUCGUGAGAUGUUGGGUUAAGUCCCGCAACGAGCGCAACCCUUGUCCUUAGUUACCAGCGGGUUAAGCCGGGAACUCUAAGG
RNAcentral lists this ribosomal RNA (773 nucleotides) under Psychrobacter sp. HZDC1. RNAcentral describes it as "bacterial SSU rRNA". It matches the Rfam family "Bacterial small subunit ribosomal RNA", at positions 380 to 1145 of the family's 1533-position model. The record is from RNAcentral. Lineage: Bacteria; Pseudomonadati; Pseudomonadota; Gammaproteobacteria; Moraxellales; Moraxellaceae.